This 2903-nucleotide ribosomal RNA is filed under the name Escherichia coli. Its description in RNAcentral is "23S ribosomal RNA". It matches the Rfam family "Bacterial large subunit ribosomal RNA". Lineage: Bacteria; Pseudomonadati; Pseudomonadota; Gammaproteobacteria; Enterobacterales; Enterobacteriaceae. RNAcentral also lists the same sequence under 3 other names. The record is from RNAcentral.
UUAAGCGACUAAGCGUACACGGUGGAUGCCCUGGCAGUCAGAGGCGAUGAAGGACGUGCUAAUCUGCGAUAAGCGUCGGUAAGGUGAUAUGAACCGUUAUAACCGGCGAUUUCCGAAUGGGGAAACCCAGUGUGAUUCGUCACACUAUCAUUAACUGAAUCCAUAGGUUAAUGAGGCGAACCGGGGGAACUGAAACAUCUAAGUACCCCGAGGAAAAGAAAUCAACCGAGAUUCCCCCAGUAGCGGCGAGCGAACGGGGAGGAGCCCAGAGCCUGAAUCAGUGUGUGUGUUAGUGGAAGCGUCUGGAAAGGCGCGCGAUACAGGGUGACAGCCCCGUACACAAAAAUGCACAUGCUGUGAGCUCGAUGAGUAGGGCGGGACACGUGGUAUCCUGUCUGAAUAUGGGGGGACCAUCCUCCAAGGCUAAAUACUCCUGACUGACCGAUAGUGAACCAGUACCGUGAGGGAAAGGCGAAAAGAACCCCGGCGAGGGGAGUGAAAAAGAACCUGAAACCGUGUACGUACAAGCAGUGGGAGCCUCUUUAUGGGGUGACUGCGUACCUUUUGUAUAAUGGGUCAGCGACUUAUAUUCUGUAGCAAGGUUAACCGAAUAGGGGAGCCGAAGGGAAACCGAGUCUUAACUGGGCGUUAAGUUGCAGGGUAUAGACCCGAAACCCGGUGAUCUAGCCAUGGGCAGGUUGAAGGUUGGGUAACACUAACUGGAGGACCGAACCGACUAAUGUUGAAAAAUUAGCGGAUGACUUGUGGCUGGGGGUGAAAGGCCAAUCAAACCGGGAGAUAGCUGGUUCUCCCCGAAAGCUAUUUAGGUAGCGCCUCGUGAAUUCAUCUCCGGGGGUAGAGCACUGUUUCGGCAAGGGGGUCAUCCCGACUUACCAACCCGAUGCAAACUGCGAAUACCGGAGAAUGUUAUCACGGGAGACACACGGCGGGUGCUAACGUCCGUCGUGAAGAGGGAAACAACCCAGACCGCCAGCUAAGGUCCCAAAGUCAUGGUUAAGUGGGAAACGAUGUGGGAAGGCCCAGACAGCCAGGAUGUUGGCUUAGAAGCAGCCAUCAUUUAAAGAAAGCGUAAUAGCUCACUGGUCGAGUCGGCCUGCGCGGAAGAUGUAACGGGGCUAAACCAUGCACCGAAGCUGCGGCAGCGACGCUUAUGCGUUGUUGGGUAGGGGAGCGUUCUGUAAGCCUGCGAAGGUGUACUGUGAGGUAUGCUGGAGGUAUCAGAAGUGCGAAUGCUGACAUAAGUAACGAUAAAGCGGGUGAAAAGCCCGCUCGCCGGAAGACCAAGGGUUCCUGUCCAACGUUAAUCGGGGCAGGGUGAGUCGACCCCUAAGGCGAGGCCGAAAGGCGUAGUCGAUGGGAAACAGGUUAAUAUUCCUGUACUUGGUGUUACUGCGAAGGGGGGACGGAGAAGGCUAUGUUGGCCGGGCGACGGUUGUCCCGGUUUAAGCGUGUAGGCUGGUUUUCCAGGCAAAUCCGGAAAAUCAAGGCUGAGGCGUGAUGACGAGGCACUACGGUGCUGAAGCAACAAAUGCCCUGCUUCCAGGAAAAGCCUCUAAGCAUCAGGUAACAUCAAAUCGUACCCCAAACCGACACAGGUGGUCAGGUAGAGAAUACCAAGGCGCUUGAGAGAACUCGGGUGAAGGAACUAGGCAAAAUGGUGCCGUAACUUCGGGAGAAGGCACGCUGAUAUGUAGGUGAAGCGACUUGCUCGUGGAGCUGAAAUCAGUCGAAGAUACCAGCUGGCUGCAACUGUUUAUUAAAAACACAGCACUGUGCAAACACGAAAGUGGACGUAUACGGUGUGACGCCUGCCCGGUGCCGGAAGGUUAAUUGAUGGGGUUAGCGGUAACGCGAAGCUCUUGAUCGAAGCCCCGGUAAACGGCGGCCGUAACUAUAACGGUCCUAAGGUAGCGAAAUUCCUUGUCGGGUAAGUUCCGACCUGCACGAAUGGCGUAAUGAUGGCCAGGCUGUCUCCACCCGAGACUCAGUGAAAUUGAACUCGCUGUGAAGAUGCAGUGUACCCGCGGCAAGACGGAAAGACCCCGUGAACCUUUACUAUAGCUUGACACUGAACAUUGAGCCUUGAUGUGUAGGAUAGGUGGGAGGCUUUGAAGUGUGGACGCCAGUCUGCAUGGAGCCGACCUUGAAAUACCACCCUUUAAUGUUUGAUGUUCUAACGUUGGCCCCUAAUCGGGGUUGCGGACAGUGUCUGGUGGGUAGUUUGACUGGGGCGGUCUCCUCCUAAAGAGUAACGGAGGAGCACGAAGGUUGGCUAAUCCUGGUCGGACAUCAGGAGGUUAGUGCAAUGGCAUAAGCCAGCUUGACUGCGAGCGUGACGGCGCGAGCAGGUGCGAAAGCAGGUCAUAGUGAUCCGGUGGUUCUGAAUGGAAGGGCCAUCGCUCAACGGAUAAAAGGUACUCCGGGGAUAACAGGCUGAUACCGCCCAAGAGUUCAUAUCGACGGCGGUGUUUGGCACCUCGAUGUCGGCUCAUCACAUCCUGGGGCUGAAGUAGGUCCCAAGGGUAUGGCUGUUCGCCAUUUAAAGUGGUACGCGAGCUGGGUUUAGAACGUCGUGAGACAGUUCGGUCCCUAUCUGCCGUGGGCGCUGGAGAACUGAGGGGGGCUGCUCCUAGUACGAGAGGACCGGAGUGGACGCAUCACUGGUGUUCGGGUUGUCAUGCCAAUGGCACUGCCCGGUAGCUAAAUGCGGAAGAGAUAAGUGCUGAAAGCAUCUAAGCACGAAACUUGCCCCGAGAUGAGUUCUCCCUGACUCCUUGAGAGUCCUGAAGGAACGUUGAAGACGACGACGUUGAUAGGCCGGGUGUGUAAGCGCAGCGAUGCGUUGAGCUAACCGGUACUAAUGAACCGUGAGGCUUAACCUU